This is a long non-coding RNA of Polyodon spathula (Mississippi paddlefish), 1116 nucleotides long. RefSeq lists it as uncharacterized. The record is from RefSeq and is a predicted model, not a curated record. Lineage: Eukaryota; Metazoa; Chordata; Actinopteri; Acipenseriformes; Polyodontidae. The transcript has 4 exons.
AGUGCUUCUGGAAGGAACCGCGACUGUCAAACAAUGACCCGCUACAUUCAACUGAAGCUAUCUAUUUAAAAAAAAAAAAAAAAAAAAGCGCUUUACUUAAAAACAUUAAAGUUAACAUUCUUGUAAAGACACUGUCAAUUCUUGUACAGAUUUUUUCCAAAGAAUUCCUCUUCAAAAGGCGUGUCUUUCUCACAAGCAUACCCAGCUUGGGCCAGGGCUCCUGGAGUACUAAUUGUAUUCAUUCAUUUUCUCAGCCCAGCAUGGAGCUGUGUGAUUGCUGGGUCCAUAGCAACAGGGGGAGAGAGAGAAAGCUCAUCUUUAUCUGAACCUCGCCAACAGGAAACAGGGCUGAUGGGCGGCUGCUAUGCAAUCCCUUCAUUAAAGGCAUUUGCAUGUUUCAAAUGACAGAAGUCCAGGUUGGGACUAAUUGACUGGCACUCAUUCCCGCAUUAAGCCACACAAGCGUUCAAUGGAUUUAAGAUUAAGCCAGAAAGCCACAGGAUUAUUUGAAAAAGAGAAGAGGCCACAUCCAUUCCCUUAUACAAGAAAACUGAGCUCCAACCGAGCUGGAAAAUCAAACAAUAUGCUCAUUCUAGUCAAAGUGACUGUUAUAGGGGUGAUAUAAUCUCUGAAUGUUAGAACACAGAAAAAAAUAAACAGCAAAGAGGAAAGCCAUGCCUACCCUCAUGACUGACAUCAGAGCAAUACUAAUUCUUUAAUAUGGGCAGUGGGCUUGUAUUAGCUUGCUAUAAACUGGAAUACGUUUGUCUCUCACCUUUAAAAUGUUGACAUUUAGUUUACUUAAUUGGGGUAGAUGUAUGUAACUGACAAACUACAGCUUGAAAGGGCUUUGUAAUGUCAGAGGCUGAAUUCUAAAUAUGUGCAGAGUCAUUUUUCUCAUUCCGAUUAACUUGGUGUCUAUAGAAAGUAUACACCCCCUUGAACUUUUUUCACAUUUUGUUGUGUCAGUGCCUCAGUUUCAUUUAUUUAAAUGAUGAUUUUUUUUCCAAUUAUCUAGACGCCAUACUGCACACUAUUAAUGGGAAAACAGUUUUUAUUGAGAAAAAAUAUAUAUAUUAAAAAUACAAAACUAAAAGAUCAUGAUUGGAUAAGUCU